This 822-nucleotide ribosomal RNA is filed under the name uncultured Planctomycetota bacterium. RNAcentral's name for it is "bacterial SSU rRNA". It matches the Rfam family "Bacterial small subunit ribosomal RNA", at positions 94 to 892 of the family's 1533-position model. Lineage: Bacteria; Pseudomonadati; Planctomycetota. The record is from RNAcentral.
AGUGGCGAACGGGAGAGUAACGCGUGGGAAACCUGCCCUUCAGCGGGGGACAACAGUUCUAACGAGCUGCUAAUACCGCAUACGAUCUAACUACCGCAUGGUGGUUUGAUGAAAGAUGGCCUCUACAUGUAAGCUGUCACUGAAGGAUGGUCCCGCGUCCCAUUAGCUUGUUGGUGGGGUAAAGGCCUACCAAGGCGACGAUGGGUAGCCGGCCUGAGAGGGUGUCCGGCCUCACUGGGACUGAGAUACGGCCCAGACUCCUACGGGAGGCAGCAGUCGAGAAGCUUCGGCAAUGGACGAAAGUCUGACCGAGCGACGCCGCGUGAGCGAUGAAGGCCUUCGGGUCGUAAAGCUCUGUCAGGAGGGAAUAAAUACCUAUGGUUAAUACCCAUGGGGGCUGAAGGUACCUCCAGAGGAAGCGCCGGCUAACUACGUGCCAGCAGCCGCGGUAAUACGUAGGGCGCAAACGUUGUUCGGAUUCACUGGGUAUAAAGGGUUCGUAGGCGGGCUAUUAAGUCAGAGGUGAAAGCCACCGGCUCAACCGGUGAAUUGCCUCUGAUACUGUUAGUCUUGAGUCCGUUAGGGGGUGGUGGAAUUCCUGGUGUAGCGGUGAAAUGCGUAAAUAUCAGGAGGAACACCAGUGGCGAAGGCGACCACCUGGGACGGUACUGACGCUGAGGAACGAAAGCAUGGGUAUCAAACGGGAUUAGAUACCCCGGUAGUCCAUGCUGUAAACGAUGGGCACUAGGUGUCGGAGGAGUCUUCCCCUUCGGUGCCGCAGCUAACGCAUUAAGUGCCCCACCUGGGAAGUACGAUCGCAAG